Molecule: long non-coding RNA, 116 nt
Organism: Penaeus monodon (black tiger shrimp)
Lineage: Eukaryota; Metazoa; Arthropoda; Malacostraca; Decapoda; Penaeidae
Exons: 2
Source: RefSeq, a predicted model, not a curated record
UAUCAGUCUCCUACGAGGAACUCCUCUGCCAGGAUGGGGAACGGUGAGAGUACGAACCUAACUCCAGUCAACAACAGCAGUUCACGACACUCAACGAGAAGCUGCAGAAUUCUAAA